RNAcentral lists this ribosomal RNA (497 nucleotides) under uncultured bacterium. RNAcentral describes it as "partial 16S ribosomal RNA". It matches the Rfam family "Bacterial small subunit ribosomal RNA", at positions 28 to 507 of the family's 1533-position model. The record is from RNAcentral.
GAUGAACGCUGGCGGCGUGCCUAAUACAUGCAAGUCGAGCGAACAGACGAGGAGCUUGCUCCUCUGACGUUAGCGGCGGAGGGGAGAGUAACACGUGGAUAACCUACCUAUAAGACUGGGAUCACUUCGGGAAACCGGAGCUAAUACCGGAUAAUAUAUUGCACCGCAUGGUUCAAUGGUGAAAGACGGUGUUGCUGUCACUUAUAGAUGGUUCCGCGCGGCAUUAGCUAGUUGGUACGGUAACGGCCUACCACGGCAACGAUGCGUAGCCGACCUGAGAGGCUGAUCGGCCACAUUGGAACGGAGACGCGGUCCAGACUCCUACGGGAGGCAGCAGUAGGGAAUCUUCCGCAAUGGGCGAAAGCCUGGCGGAGCAACGGCGCGUGAGUGAUGAAGGUCUUCCGAUCGUAAAACUCUGUUAUUAGGGAAGAACAAAUGUGGAAGUAACUAUGCACGUCUUGACGGUACCUAAUCAGAAAGCCACGGCUAACUACGUG